RNAcentral lists this ribosomal RNA (1145 nucleotides) under Bacillus subtilis. RNAcentral describes it as "bacterial SSU rRNA". It matches the Rfam family "Bacterial small subunit ribosomal RNA", at positions 31 to 1163 of the family's 1533-position model. The record is from RNAcentral. Lineage: Bacteria; Bacillati; Bacillota; Bacilli; Caryophanales; Bacillaceae.
GAAAAUUGGGGCGUGCCUAAUACAUGCAAGUCGAGCGGACAGAUGGGAGCUUGCUCCCUGAUGUUAGCGGCGGACGGGUGAGUAACACGUGGGUAACCUGCCUGUAAGACUGGGAUAACUCCGGGAAACCGGGGCUAAUACCGGAUGGUUGUUUGAACCGCAUGGUUCAAACAUAAAAGGUGGCUUCGGCUACCACUUACAGAUGGACCCGCGGCGCAUUAGCUAGUUGGUGAGGUAACGGCUCACCAAGGCGACGAUGCGUAGCCGACCUGAGAGGGUGAUCGGCCACACUGGGACUGAGACACGGCCCAGACUCCUACGGGAGGCAGCAGUAGGGAAUCUUCCGCAAUGGACGAAAGUCUGACGGAGCAACGCCGCGUGAGUGAUGAAGGUUUUCGGAUCGUAAAGCUCUGUUGUUAGGGAAGAACAAGUACCGUUCGAAUAGGGCGGUACCUUGACGGUACCUAACCAGAAAGCCACGGCUAACUACGUGCCAGCAGCCGCGGUAAUACGUAGGUGGCAAGCGUUGUCCGGAAUUAUUGGGCGUAAAGGGCUCGCAGGCGGUUUCUUAAGUCUGAUGUGAAAGCCCCCGGCUCAACCGGGGAGGGUCAUUGGAAACUGGGGAACUUGAGUGCAGAAGAGGAGAGUGGAAUUCCACGUGUAGCGGUGAAAUGCGUAGAGAUGUGGAGGAACACCAGUGGCGAAGGCGACUCUCUGGUCUGUAACUGACGCUGAGGAGCGAAAGCGUGGGGAGCGAACAGGAUUAGAUACCCUGGUAGUCCACGCCGUAAACGAUGAGUGCUAAGUGUUAGGGGGUUUCCGCCCCUUAGUGCUGCAGCUAACGCAUUAAGCACUCCGCCUGGGGAGUACGGUCGCAAGACUGAAACUCAAAGGAAUUGACGGGGGCCCGCACAAGCGGUGGAGCAUGUGGUUUAAUUCGAAGCAACGCGAAGAACCUUACCAGGUCUUGACAUCCUCUGACCAUCCUAGAGAUAGGACGUCCCCUUCGGGGGCAGAGUGACAGUGGUGCAUGGUUGUCGUCAGCUCGUGUCGUGAGAUGUUGGUUAAGUCCCGCAACGAGCGCAACCUGAUCUAGUGCCAGCAUUCAGUGGGCCACCUUCUUAAGGUGACCUGCCCGGGUGACA